AUGUCCAUGUCGACCGGAGUAGAGCCGAUGAUCGACGUGAAGGUUUUCGUGGACAAGGAGAGGGGCAAGGUGCUCUUCGCGGAGUCCGGCAAGGAGUUCGUCGACGUUCUCUUCGGCUUCCUCACGCUGCCCCUCGGCACCGUCGUCCGCCUCCUCGGCGGGCAGUCUCAGGUCGGAUGCCUGGACGAAUUGUACAGGAGCGUCGAGGGGCUCUCCCCCGACCUGUUCAGGACCGAGGCCUGCAAGGCGAUGCUGCUCAAGCCCAUCAACUCCGCGGCGAAGCAGUGCUGUCAGUUGCCGGUCAGAAUCGACGACACCAAGCACCGGGAGGUUUACGUCUGCGGUGACACGAGCUGCAGUGUCACCGCGUUCAGCUCCGUCCCCGGCGCCGUCUGCGAGUGCGGCAGAAUCAUGACGCAGCUAGCCGGGGAGAGGCCGGAGAAUCCUCGUAACGCUGCUGCCGGUGGUGCUUUCGAGGAUGGGGUUUUUGUGAAAGGAGGUAUGAAUAAGUUUAUCGUCACUGAUGAUCUCAAUGUUGCACCGGCCUCAACUUCCCUCAUGCUGUCCCUUCUGGACAAGUUUCAAGUGCCGGAUCCCUCCUGUCUUGAGCAAAUGACACUCCAGUUUAGUUCAGUCAAGGUUUCCGUAUCACAAUUAAUUUAUUUGUUUUGA
Molecule: ribosomal RNA, 672 nt
Filed under: Triticum aestivum (bread wheat)
Lineage: Eukaryota; Viridiplantae; Streptophyta; Magnoliopsida; Poales; Poaceae
Description: partial small subunit ribosomal RNA
Source: RNAcentral